CAGAAGUCGAAGAAAAACUAAAGGAAAAGAGCCAGCAACUCCAAGAAAAACAGCAACAGCUUCUUAAUGUACAAGAAGAGAUGAGUGAGAUGCAGAAAAAGAUUAAUGAAAUGGAGAAUUUAAAGAAUGAAUUAAAGAACAAAGAAUUGACAUUGGAACAUAUGGAAACAGAGAGGCUUGAGUUGGCUCAGAAACUUAAUGAAAAUUAUGAGGAAGUGAAAUCUAUAACCAAAGAAAGAAAAGUUCUAAAGGAAUUACAGGAGUCAUUUGAAACAGAGAGAGACCAACUCAGAGGAUAUAUAAGAGAAAUUGAAGCUACAGGCCUACAAACCAAAGAAGAACUAAAAAUUGCUCAUAUUCACCUAAAAGAACACCAAGAAACUAUUGAUGAACUAAGAAGAAGCAUAUCUGAGAAGACAGCUCAAAUAGUAAAUACUCAGGACUUAGAAAAAUC
RNAcentral lists this long non-coding RNA (454 nucleotides) under Pan troglodytes (chimpanzee). Its description in RNAcentral is "long non-coding RNA NONPTRT013168". The record is from RNAcentral. Lineage: Eukaryota; Metazoa; Chordata; Mammalia; Primates; Hominidae.